CCCUCCCCUCACCCCUAUAAGGAAUAAGCUUCUCCCCCACUCUGCAGAACCAGCAAUCGACCUGUUGUUUAUUCUCCCUGUCUUCUGCCGCAGCAUGGGCCGCUAGUCGAUUUCUAUUGAUUGGGGAAGGCCAAGACCUCUGUUUCCUAACAGAGGGAGGGAGAGGACUGGGGACACUGAUAAUGUUUAUUUCGUGAACGUGGAAAUGUGAAUUACUAACUGCUGCUUGAGACAGGAUUUGCUCUUCGGGAAGUUUAAUAUGAGUCUAGGAGAGCUCGGAAGUUUCUUUCUUGCAAGAUGGAUUCUCCCGCAGUCUUGUUUUGGAUUUCAAAGCUGCAGUCUUCCUAAACCACCAUGGGGCUUCCAGUGGUCUCAGAGGUCAUCAAGGGCCUCUCCAGAGCAGUCAACGCCCCUUCCUCCACCAGCACUUCUCAACUUUGGCUGCCCAGUGGAACAGUCACCUGGUAAGAUGAUAAAAAUCCUGAUGCCUGCAUCCCCAGGCCAAUUAAGUCAGGCUUGGGAGGGCAGGACCCAGGCCUUAGGACUUGUGU
RNAcentral lists this long non-coding RNA (551 nucleotides) under Capra hircus (goat). RNAcentral describes it as "lncRNA (ENSCHIG00000007464.1)". Lineage: Eukaryota; Metazoa; Chordata; Mammalia; Artiodactyla; Bovidae. The record is from RNAcentral.